Molecule: unclassified non-coding RNA, 131 nt
Filed under: plant metagenome
Description: partial contains 5.8S ribosomal RNA, internal transcribed spacer 2, and large subunit ribosomal RNA
Source: RNAcentral
GGCAAGCAGGCCGAGAAAGGUCAGCGCGACGGUGACGAGGAAGCCGCCGAGCGACAGCAGCCAGGCGCCGGCGCGGAAGCCGCCCGGGCGUGCGGCGGGCGGCUGGGGCAGGCUCGGGACUGCAUCGGGUU